UCCCUUUCAGGAUUGCACCUGGAGAGUUUCCAGUACUCUACCAAUCUCGGCCAUGGGAGGGAGAGUUAAGCAGAGGCCUUCCCGUUCCAUUCUUAGCUUGGGCAGUGGCUAGUGAAUAGAAGGCAAUCUGCUACAAGU
Ornithorhynchus anatinus (platypus) is the source of this 138-nucleotide small nucleolar RNA. The record is from RefSeq and is a predicted model, not a curated record. Lineage: Eukaryota; Metazoa; Chordata; Mammalia; Monotremata; Ornithorhynchidae.